Molecule: ribosomal RNA, 788 nt
Filed under: uncultured bacterium
Lineage: Bacteria
Description: bacterial SSU rRNA
Rfam family: Bacterial small subunit ribosomal RNA
Source: RNAcentral
AGAGUUUGAUCAUGGCUCAGGAUGAACGCUAGCGGCAGGCCUAAUACAUGCAAGUCGAACGGGUUUUGGUAGCAAUACCAAAAUCAGUGGCGCACGGGUGCGUAACGCGUAUGCAACCUACCUUAAACUGGGGGAUAGCCUUCCGAAAGGAAGAUUAAUACCGCAUAAUAUCACAUGAUGGCAUCUGAGUGUGAUUAAAGAUUUAUUGGUUUAAGAUGGGCAUGCGUGCCAUUAGCUAGUUGGUAGUGUAACGGACUACCAAGGCGACGAUGGCUAGGGGUUCUGAGAGGAUGAUCCCCCACACUGGUACUGAGAUACGGACCAGACUCCUACGGGAGGCAGCAGUAGGGAAUAUUGGGCAAUGGACGGAAGUCUGACCCAGCCAUGCCGCGUGCAGGAAGAAGGCCUUCUGGGUUGUAAACUGCUUUUAUCUAGGAAGAAAACGCCCAUGCGUGGGAAACUGACGGUACUAGAUGAAUAAGCACCGGCUAACUCCGUGCCAGCAGCCGCGGUAAUACGGAGGGUGCAAGCGUUGUCCGGAUUUAUUGGGUUUAAAGGGUGCGUAGGCGGCCCGUUAAGUCAGUGGUGAAAGCCUCCAGCUCAACUGGAGAACUGCCAUUGAUACUGGCGGGCUUGAGUACAGACGAGGUUGGCGGAAUUGAUUGUGUAGCGGUGAAAUGCAUAGAUACAAUCAAGAACACCGAUUGCGUAGGCAGCUAACUAGGCUGUAACUGACGCUGAGGCACGAAAGCGUGGGGAGCGAACAGGAUUAGAUACCCUAGUAGUCC